Molecule: ribosomal RNA, 490 nt
Filed under: uncultured bacterium
Lineage: Bacteria
Description: partial 16S ribosomal RNA
Rfam family: Bacterial small subunit ribosomal RNA
Source: RNAcentral
GAUGAACGCUAGCGAUAGGCUUAACACAUGCAAGUCGAGGGGCAGCAUGGUCUUAGCUUGCUAAGACUGAUGGCGACCGGCGCACGGGUGCGUAACGCGUAUGCAACUUGCCUCACAGAGGGGGAUAACCCGUCGAAAGACGGACUAAUACCGCGUACACUCCAUCUUGGGCAUCCAAGGUAGAGGAAAUGAAAUUCGCUGUGAGAUAGGCAUGCGUCCCAUUAGCUAGUUGGUGAGGUAACGGCUCACCAAGGCGACGAUGGGUAGGGGAACUGAGAGGUUGAACCCCCACACUGGUACUGAGACACGGACCAGACUCCUACGGGAGGCAGCAGUGAGGAAUAUUGGUCAAUGGGCGAGAGCCUGAACCAGCCAAGUCGCGUGAAGGAUGACUGUCUUAUGGAUUGUAAACUUCUUUUAUACGGGAAUAACAAGAGUCACGUGUGACUCCCUGCUUGUACCGUAUGAAUAAGCAUCGGCUAACUCCGUG